CUGGCUCAGGAUGAACGCUAGCGAUAGGCCUAACACAUGCAAGUCGAGGGGCAUCACAUGAGGUAGCAAUACUGAUGGUGGCGACCGGCGCACGGGUGAGUAACACGUAUGCAACCUGCCUUCAACAAGGGCAUAACCCGUUGAAAGACGGACUAAUUCCCUAUGACACAGGGGUCCCGCAUGGGGAUAUUUGUUAAAGAUUAAUCGGUUGGAGAUGGGCAUGCGUUCCAUUAGCUUGUUGGCGGGGUAACGGCCCACCAAGGCAACGAUGGAUAGGGGAACUGAGAGGUUUAUCCCCCACACUGGUACUGAGACACGGACCAGACUCCUACGGGAGGCAGCAGUGAGGAAUAUUGGUCAAUGGGCGCAAGCCUGAACCAGCCACGUCCGCGUGAAGGAAGACGGCCCUACGGGUUGUAAACUUCUUUUGCAAGGGAAUAAAGUUGGCCACGCGUGGCCUUUUGCAUGUACCUUGCGAAUAAGGAUCGGCUAACUCCGUGCCAGCCGCAGC
RNAcentral lists this ribosomal RNA (511 nucleotides) under uncultured bacterium. Its description in RNAcentral is "bacterial SSU rRNA". It matches the Rfam family "Bacterial small subunit ribosomal RNA", at positions 19 to 518 of the family's 1533-position model. The record is from RNAcentral.